RNAcentral lists this ribosomal RNA (769 nucleotides) under uncultured bacterium. RNAcentral's name for it is "bacterial SSU rRNA". It matches the Rfam family "Bacterial small subunit ribosomal RNA", at positions 11 to 777 of the family's 1533-position model. The record is from RNAcentral.
GUUUGAUCCUGGCUCAGAUUGAACGCUGGCGGCAUGCUUUACACAUGCAAGUCGAACGGUAACAGGCCGCAAGGUGCUGACGAGUGGCGAACGGGUGAGUAAUGCAUCGGAACGUGCCCAGUCGUGGGGGAUAACUGCUCGAAAGAGCAGCUAAUACCGCAUACGAUCUAUGGAUGAAAGCGGGGGACCGUAAGGCCUCGCGCGAUUGGAGCGGCCGAUGUCAGAUUAGGUAGUUGGUGGGGUAAAGGCUCACCAAGCCAACGAUCUGUAGCUGGUCUGAGAGGACGACCAGCCACACUGGGACUGAGACACGGCCCAGACUCCUACGGGAGGCAGCAGUGGGGAAUUUUGGACAAUGGGGGCAACCCUGAUCCAGCAAUGCCGCGUGCAGGAAGAAGGCCUUCGGGUUGUAAACUGCUUUUGUACGGAACGAAACGGUCUGGGUUAAUACCCUGGGCUAAUGACGGUACCGUAAGAAUAAGCACCGGCUAACUACGUGCCAGCAGCCGCGGUAAUACGUAGGGUGCGAGCGUUAAUCGGAAUUACUGGGCGUAAAGCGUGCGCAGGCGGUUUUGUAAGACAGGCGUGAAAUCCCCGGGCUCAACCUGGGAAUGGCGCUUGUGACUGCAAAGCUGGAGUGCGGCAGAGGGGGAUGGAAUUCCGCGUGUAGCAGUGAAAUGCGUAGAUAUGCGGAGGAACACCGAUGGCGAACGCAAUCCCCUGGGCCUGCACUGACGCUCAUGCACGAAAGCGUGGGGAGCAAACAGGA